RNAcentral lists this unclassified non-coding RNA (767 nucleotides) under Bombus terrestris (buff-tailed bumblebee). Its description in RNAcentral is "misc RNA ENSBTSG00005038158.1". The record is from RNAcentral. Lineage: Eukaryota; Metazoa; Arthropoda; Insecta; Hymenoptera; Apidae.
AACCUAAUAUGUAUGUUAUAUAAUAUAUAUAUACAUCGUAAUAUACAUAUGUAACCUAGCUAAUAAACCGAAACGAAUAAACUACUGUGCUGUACUAUGUUUCGUUCGUAUAGUAGGAGGUUAGAUUCAGAUAAACGAAUUGAAGCAGCAAAAGUUCAGAUUCUAGAGCAGAUCGACUCGAAAGAAUGGGAAUGAUUUACACGUAAGAAGGAAUAAUAAUGGAGGAAGAUUUUUGUGCGUAGAGAAUAAGAACGAAGUGAGGUAGAAAGAAGAGGAACCUUAUCGCAGAAAGCGGAACCAUUUCUCGUUGCUCUUCGACAUCUCGUUCGCUCGACGAUUUCCUUAUUGUUUGUAUAAUCGAUAAAUUGUGCGCCUAGGGGAAUACAUACGGGAUGCUUCACGGUGUAAAAACCGCGUAAUCUACUGCCGUUCGUGGGCGGGGCGGGUAUCGAGCAAGAGCCAGCAACGAGACAGACUCGGAAGACUAUAAAUCUCACGAUACAACUUCGACUUCCGGUUUCCCUGUCUUUCCACAACACGUCGAUUCCUAAUUCAUUUGAAACUUCCCAGAAAGUUCGACGAUAAUUUCAAUGACUCACUUAUCCAGCUGUCCUAGUAUAUUCUAAGAAAUGAGAAAAGGAAUUAUUCCACAGAAUCGUUCUGAAUAAUAAAAUUAUGUACCUUUGUAAGAUACCAGGAAGAAAACUUUGAUAUUAUAAAUGAUUUUAUAAUACACAUGUUACACUGUUUCAAAUAAUUAGAGAAUU